UCCGGCUUAUCACCGGCAGUCCCCUUAGAGUGCCCAACUAAAUGAUGGCAACUAAGGGCGAGGGUUGCGCUCGUUGCGGGACUUAACCCAACAUCUCACGGCACGAGCUGACGACAGCCAUGCAGCACCUGUGUUGAGGCUCCCUUUCGGGCACCCCCGCGUCUCCGCGGGGUUCCUCACAUGUCAAGGGUAGGUAAGGUUUUUCGCGUUGCAUCGAAUUAAACCACAUAAUCCACCGCUUGUGCGGGCCCCCGUCAAUUCCUUUGAGUUUUAAUCUUGCGACCGUACUCCCCAGGCGGGGCACUUAAUGCGUUAGCUGCGGCACCCAGGGGGUCAAUACCCCGGACACCUAGUGCCCAUCGUUUACAGCGUGGACUAC
This 379-nucleotide unclassified non-coding RNA is filed under the name uncultured Pseudomonadota bacterium. RNAcentral describes it as "uncultured proteobacterium contains 16S-23S intergenic spacer region". Lineage: Bacteria; Pseudomonadati; Pseudomonadota. The record is from RNAcentral.